Molecule: ribosomal RNA, 253 nt
Filed under: uncultured prokaryote
Description: partial 16S ribosomal RNA
Rfam family: Bacterial small subunit ribosomal RNA
Source: RNAcentral
GACAGAGGGGGCAAGCGUUGCUCGGAAUCACUGGGCGUAAAGGGCGCGUAGGCGGGAUGGCAAGUCGGUCGUGAAAUCCCUGGGCUCAACUCAGGGGGGUCGGCCGAUACUGCCGUUCUUGAGGGAUGCAGAGGAGACUGGAAUUCCCGGUGUAGCGGUGGAAUGUGUAGAUAUCAGGAAGAACACCGGUGGCGAAGGCGGCUUGCUGGGCCAUCACUGACGCUGAAACACGAAAGCGUGGGGAGCAAACGGG